UUGAGGCGUGGCUUCCGGAGCUAACGCGUUAAGUAGACCGCCUGGGGAGUACGGCCGCAAGGUUAAAACUCAAAUGAAUUGACGGGGGCCCGCACAAGCGGUGGAGCAUGUGGUUUAAUUCGAUGCAACGCGAAGAACCUUACCUGGUCUUGACAUCCACAGAACUUUCCAGAGAUGGAUUGGUGCCUUCGGGAACUGUGAGACAGGUGCUGCAUGGCUGUCGUCAGCUCGUGUUGUGAAAUGUUGGGUUAAGUCCCGCAACGAGCGCAACCCUUAUCCUUUGUUGCCAGCGAUUAGGUCGGGAACUCAAAGGAGACUGCCAGUGAUAAACUGGAGGAAGGUGGGGAUGACGUCAAGUCAUCAUGGCCCUUACGACCAGGGCUACACACGUGCUACAAUGGCGCAUACAAAGAGAAGCGACCUCGCGAGAGCAAGCGGACCUCAUAAAGUGCGUCGUAGUCCGGAUUGGAGUCUGCAACUCGACUCCAUGAAGUCGGAAUCGCUAGUAAUCGUGGAUCAGAAUGCCACGGUGAAUACGUUCCCGGGCCUUGUACACACCGCCCGUCACACCAUGGGAGUGGGUUGCAAAAGAAGUAGGUAGCUUAACCUUCGGGAGGGCGCUUACCACUUUGUGAUUCAUGACUGGGGUGAAGUCGUAACAAGGUAACCGUAGGGGAACCUGCGGUUGGA
This 690-nucleotide ribosomal RNA is filed under the name Salmonella enterica. RNAcentral's name for it is "partial 16S ribosomal RNA". It matches the Rfam family "Bacterial small subunit ribosomal RNA", at positions 832 to 1522 of the family's 1533-position model. RNAcentral also lists the same sequence under 1 other name. Lineage: Bacteria; Pseudomonadati; Pseudomonadota; Gammaproteobacteria; Enterobacterales; Enterobacteriaceae. The record is from RNAcentral.